Molecule: ribosomal RNA, 497 nt
Filed under: uncultured bacterium
Lineage: Bacteria
Description: partial 16S ribosomal RNA
Rfam family: Bacterial small subunit ribosomal RNA
Source: RNAcentral
GACGAACGCUGGCGGCGUGCCUAAUACAUGCAAGUAGAACGAUGAAGCGAGGAGCUUGCUCUUCUUUGAUGAGUUGCGAACGGGUGAGUAACGCGUAGGUAACCUGCCUUGUAGCGGGGGAUAACUAUGGGAAACGAUAGCUAAUACCGCAUAACAAUGGAUGACACAUGUCAUUUAUUUGAAAGGGGCUAUUGCUCCACUACAAGAUGGACCUGCGUUGUAUUAGCUAGUAGGUGAGGUAACGGCGCAACGAGGCGACGAUUCAUAGGCGGACUGGGGGGGGGAGCGGGCACACUGGGACUGGGACUCGGCCCCGGCCCCGACGGGAGGCAGCAGUAGGGGAUCGUCGGCAAGUGGGGCAACCCUUACCGAGCAACGGCGCCGGAGUGAAGGAGGGUUUCGGAUUCUAAAGCUCUGUUUUUUGUGAAGAACGAGUGUGAGAGGGGAAUGUGCACACUGUGACGGUAGCUUACCAGAAAGCGACGGCUAACUACGUG